GCAGUUAGCUUAGCGGGCAAGCUUGGAGCUAGAAACACCAAGCCAGGUGCAGGUUCGAAACCUGCGGUGCA
Wilcoxina mikolae CBS 423.85 is the source of this 71-nucleotide non-coding RNA. NCBI's taxonomy places the organism in Eukaryota, Fungi, Ascomycota, Pezizomycetes, Pezizales, Pyronemataceae. The record is from the annotation of a GenBank genome assembly.